AACUGAAGAUGUCUAAAACAUUUCGUAAGAAGGAAGCAACCUCAAAAUCAUAACACAUUUCGAUCCAUAUAAAUGGCAAAUGUCGAGGGUCUAGAAACCAGAUCUGGGGAAAAUUCACUUUAUUAAACUAAACCAUCCUCAUUAGUGCUAAUCUAAUCAAGUAAAUCAACACUAAUCCAUAUUAAGGAUAAUAUAACUAAACUAGAUUAAUACUAAUCCAUCUUAAGGCUAAAAUCACUUAGUACUAAUUUAAUUAAGCUAAUUAACACUAAACUAACUCCAUAAGUGCAAUUAACAACCUAAUCAAGGAUUAUGGAGUUAACUAUUUGGAUUAGCGAGGCAACGGGUCCACGGCGGCAGUGGUGCGACGAUGGUGAGAUCCGGUGUCUACGACGGCUCCAAAGGAGGGCCGGAAGGGGCUGAAAAUAGCCUUGCAAGCCUUUGCUUGCUGCUGGAGUUUCUGGUUCUGCUCGGUUCUGCUUGGGGUUGAUCUCGGUAGUUGUUGGCGGACGACACGGGUGCUGGUGACCGGCGGAGAUGCUGCUGGUGCUGCUGGUGGCUUUCGGUAGGGAUGGAGGUGGUGCAGCAAUGGAGAUGGAAAGGAUAUGGAAGGAAGAAGAAGAAGAUGAAGCAAAGCAGAAGCAGAAGCAGAAGCUGUUCUGCUGGGAGGGGGGGUUGAAUGCAUGCACAAGGAAGA
RNAcentral lists this long non-coding RNA (697 nucleotides) under Eucalyptus grandis. RNAcentral's name for it is "long non-coding RNA (EGRA_LNC005503)". Lineage: Eukaryota; Viridiplantae; Streptophyta; Magnoliopsida; Myrtales; Myrtaceae. The record is from RNAcentral.